Molecule: ribosomal RNA, 497 nt
Filed under: uncultured bacterium
Lineage: Bacteria
Description: partial 16S ribosomal RNA
Rfam family: Bacterial small subunit ribosomal RNA
Source: RNAcentral
GAUGAACGCUGGCGGCGUGCCUAAUACAUGCAAGUCGAGCGAACAGACGAGGAGCUUGCUCCUCUGACGUUAGCGGCGGACGGGUGAGUAACACGUGGAUAACCUACCUAUAAGACUGGGAUAACUUCGGGAAACCGGAGCUAAUACCGGAUAAUAUAUUGAACCGCAUGGUUCAAUAGUGAAAGACGGUUUUGCUGUCACUUAUAGAUGGAUCCGCGCCGCAUUAGCUAGUUGGUAAGGUAACAGCUUACCAAGGCAACGAUGCGUAGCCGACCUAAGAGGGUGAUCGGCCACACUGGAACUGAGACACGGUCCAGACUCCUACGGGAGGCAGCAGUAGGGAAUCUUCCGCAAUGGGCGAAAGCCUGACGGAGCAGCGCCGCGUGAGUGAUGAAGGUCUUCGGAUCGUAAAACUCUGUUAUUAGGGAAGAACAAAUGUGUAAGUAACUAUGCACGUCUUGACGGUACCUAAUCAGAAAGCCACGGCUAACUACGUG